CCUACGGGUGGCAGCAGUGGGGAAUAUUGGACAAUGGGGGGAACCCUGAUCCAGCCAUGCCGCGUGUGUGAAGAAGGCCCUCGGGUUGUAAAGCACUUUCAGUGAGGAAGAACGCCUGGUGGUUAAUACCCAUCAGGAAAGACAUCACUCACAGAAGAAGCACCGGCUAACUCCGUGCCAGCAGCCGCGGUAAUACGGAGGGUGCGAGCGUUAAUCGGAAUUACUGGGCGUAAAGCGCGCGUAGGUGGCUUGAUAAGCCGGUUGUGAAAGCCCCGGGCUCAACCUGGGAACGGCAUCCGGAACUGUCAAGCUAGAGUGCAGGAGAGGAAGGUAGAAUUCCCGGUGUAGCGGUGAAAUGCGUAGAGAUCGGGAGGAAUACCAGUGGCGAAGGCGGCCUUCUGGACUGACACUGACACUGAGGUGCGAGAGCGUGGGUAGCAAACAGGAUUAGAUACCCGUGUAGUC
Molecule: ribosomal RNA, 465 nt
Filed under: Vreelandella stevensii
Lineage: Bacteria; Pseudomonadati; Pseudomonadota; Gammaproteobacteria; Oceanospirillales; Halomonadaceae
Description: partial 16S ribosomal RNA
Rfam family: Bacterial small subunit ribosomal RNA
Source: RNAcentral